RNAcentral lists this ribosomal RNA (253 nucleotides) under uncultured bacterium. RNAcentral describes it as "partial 16S ribosomal RNA". It matches the Rfam family "Bacterial small subunit ribosomal RNA", at positions 524 to 776 of the family's 1533-position model. The record is from RNAcentral.
UACGGAGGGGGCAAGCGUUAUCCGGAUUCACUGGGUUUAAAGGGUGCGUAGGUGGUUUGGUAAGUCAGUGGUGAAAUCUCCGUGCUUAACAUGGAAACUGCCAUUGAUACUACUGAUCUUGAAUUUUCUGGAGGUAAGCGGAAUAUGUCAUGUAGCGGUGAAAUGCUUAGAUAUGACAUAGAACACCAAUUGCGAAGGCAGCUUGCUACAGGGAUAUUGACACUGAGGCACGAAAGCGUGGGGAUCAAACAGG